UGACCGAAAGCAAUUUGAUUCAGCUUGAAUACAAAUAAUACGUCAGUAUAUUUUCGGCAUAUUUUGAAAUUUGUGACGUAGUUUCGGUAUAUUUCUGAGUGUCUGUUUACCAUUGCACGUAUGAAAAUAAAAGUGAAUAAUAAAAGUAAGCAAAAAUAAGCAUUCAACUUUAUCAAGUGUGUGUCAAGUGUCGAGAAAGAGAAUACGUUUUUAGACAGCUGCGACAGAGCCUGGAAUAUAGCUGGAAAAUACGAAAGAAACCCUCAUACAUAUGUAUGUAUGCUGUGCGCGUGUGUGAGUGUGGUGCAUUCAAGGCUGAUAAAACAACACAAAAAAACAGAGCAA
Molecule: long non-coding RNA, 345 nt
Organism: Drosophila miranda
Lineage: Eukaryota; Metazoa; Arthropoda; Insecta; Diptera; Drosophilidae
Exons: 2
Source: RefSeq, a predicted model, not a curated record